This is a long non-coding RNA of Parus major (Great Tit), 2639 nucleotides long. RefSeq lists it as uncharacterized. The record is from RefSeq and is a predicted model, not a curated record. The transcript has 2 exons. Lineage: Eukaryota; Metazoa; Chordata; Aves; Passeriformes; Paridae.
CCGGCUUCCCUCCGCUCUGCUCUGCUCCGCUCUGCCCGCCCCGCCGCGGGACACACGUCAUGGGGGAGCGGGCCCCGGCGGCCACGCGGGACGGGAGGGGACGGGCUGGGCGGCAUGGCCGCCGCGGGACACGCGGGUCGUGAGGGGAUGAGGAUGGGGACGAGCCCGGGCGCCAUUGAAGGGCGGCAGCGGCGGAAGCGGCCGGCGUGCGGAGCGGCGCCCCCUGGCGGGCUCGGCAUGGUGGUGGGGAUGGUCCCGGAGCGGCCGGGGCCGGACAGGGCUGGGGGAAUUUCCAUGAGGGAAUUUCCGUGUCCGAGCCUUCGGGAGCCAGCCUGGUGUCACACUCGCACCGCCUGAGCGGGGACCGACCCCCUUAGCAGCGACACAGUCACACGGUCAGAGCAGGUUUCCUUCAGCCUCGACCCCAAGCGCUUCUCCAGAAAUCGUACAACUGAUCUUUAGGAAAAGCAACAGGGAAAGAGUUAAAAUUGUGUUGUAUUCCGUAACGCAAGGGUCAAACUCAAAGCAUCCCUUCUCGCUUUUUCACAGAAAUCCCUUUCGAAAGUUUUCCUAAUGUUUCAGCCUUAGAUGUCGGCCGUUGUGCUUUUAAUGCAUUUUAGCACAUCCCUGGAAAUGUUUAAAAGACGCAGGGAAAUUAAUGACCCCUGUUUCCCUGACCACUGCCUCUCAAAUAACCACAGAACAAUUGCAGUUUGUGCUUGCAUGUGCUCUCCAGCGAGGGUCUGACAGUUGUGUUUGUUGUGAGAGUCACGUUGCUUCAGGAAUUUUUAUGCCAGCAUUUAGUAAAUGGCAAAAUAAAACAAGUUCACUUAAGAAUACAAAUGGACAUUGUUCACACACGUACACACACACACACACACAUGCGUUUUAAUUCUCUGUUCAGCAGACUUGGAAGGAAAAGAUUCUGAAAGGAAGUUUUCUUUGACGAGUGUUGGAUACUCAUUGCAAGUGAGAAACCAGUUAAAGUCUUAUUACUGCCUCUCAUUUCCUGUUAGCUUGAGAGAUAAAGACAGAGCUUCCAAUAUGGCCUUUAUGUAUCCCAGAUUUUUUAAUGCUAGCAUAAAUUAUAGUGUAAAUUCAAAGGAGCAAAGAAAUAUGGGCUCUGUAUUUUCCACACAAGUCUAUAGGAAUUACUUUGCUAAAGGUGCUGCAGCACUUCUUUCAAUCAGGCCUAUUGUCUGCAGAUGUAGUAUUAUGUUUCCAUUUGCGAAGUGGUUUUUUUUUUGUCUUUAUGUGCAGCUUCUGCUGCUGUCUGUAGGAAAUGUGGGAGCUGAUCAAGGACAGAAUGCCCACAUAAACUAAUAUACUAGAACAAUUUGUUACACACGACAGCCUACAGAUGGUGAAAACAUCAAUUUCCAGCAUUUACUCUUUUCUCUUGUCACGUGAAAAUGCAUGGAGUGAGGCAUGAGAAUUUAAAAAGAAAUAUGGAAAUUAAUUAAAAGAAUGCCAGUCAUGGUUCAUGCCUUGAUCCUGCUCAGAUUUAAGCCAAUGCAAAUUUUACUGUUAACUUCAAAGCGAUAGCUGUGACAUCAUUCAUUGAUCAUGAGAGUUACUUCAUAUAUGAUCAAAUAAUCACAUCAAGGCCUCAGUCCUUCAAGCUGCUAAAAAACUGUUGCACAUUGAAGCUUUUCUGUUUGCAGAAAUAUGUUCAAAGCGCCUUGCACAAAGUAUAGAAAAAUGUGCAGAGGGAUCAAUGCUGUUGGAAACCUCAGUGCCCAUAUGGGAAAGAAAAAAACCUAAACCACUCUUGAUGACUGUGGUGGAGAGGAGGCAUUGCCUGGUGUUGAAAUGUCAUCUAGAGCAUUCAAAUAACAUGCACAAUAGCCACUUAAAAGAUUUUCAUUUCCUUCUAAUGCCAACCAGUUGGAGCAGUUUUCUCAAGAGCUCUUAACAGCAGAACUUAAAAAAAUGGGAGAAUGGGGCUAGCCAUGAAUUACAGCCAGGAACAUGGCAAUUUGGGCAGCAGUGCUAAUAAAGCAGAAGGAUGGAUACAAAUUCUAAAAUAGGUCCUGCUGGACAGAGUUCCAAAUUAUAAGGUUUCCUUUUGUUUUGCCGCUGAUAAGAAGUCCUCAGAUCCCAAGGGUUGGAUUUUUGGUCGAUUCAGUUACAGUAGCCUGAACUCAGUGUCUCACCGUAUGGUUUUUUCCAUCAUGAAUUUUCUCCCUGGAUUGAGAACUAAAUUCUGUGUCAUGUUUCAAAUUAUUCCAGAGACUCAGACUGGUCACAAAUCUUAUUUCUUUUUGCAUCACUUGAAGAGAGCCGCAAAGUUUGGAGUUUGGAAGCUGGGCUGUUGCUGGCUAUUUCCCGUUUUCUGGAAGUUAGCAGACACGCACUGUUUCUCAUGCUUUUUGAAAAUGGAUCCUCCCUCUGGCUUAUUUGUGUAAAUGUUUAAUUGCCUUAAUGUUGUGCCCUGUACUGCCAAGUUUCCCUGGAAGAGUGCAAAGUUGCUGUAAUUACUGGCUGCAGGAAUAAAUCCUUCACCAUCAUAGAGGAAACUCUCCUAUUGCCAGCAACUGUAAGCAAUUAAAAAUUCGUUCAAGAGGGUGAUUGUUUACAGUCAGUAAUUAAAGGUGCUUAUCACUCUCUCAGAUUAAAGUGUAUUUGCAAACACUUAA